Molecule: transfer RNA, 72 nt
Filed under: Phycisphaerae bacterium
Lineage: Bacteria; Pseudomonadati; Planctomycetota; Phycisphaerae
Description: tRNA-Glu
Rfam family: tRNA
About the family: Transfer RNA (tRNA) molecules are approximately 80 nucleotides in length.
Source: RNAcentral
GCCCUUAUAGUUUAAUGGUUAGAACGUAGCUUUUUCGUAGCUUCGGCGAGAGUUCAAUUCUCUCUAAGGGUA